RNAcentral lists this long non-coding RNA (205 nucleotides) under Elaeis guineensis (African oil palm). RNAcentral describes it as "long non-coding RNA (EGUI_LNC059572)". The record is from RNAcentral. Lineage: Eukaryota; Viridiplantae; Streptophyta; Magnoliopsida; Arecales; Arecaceae.
UUGGUAGGACCAAGGGGCGCCAACCCCUUCGAUAGUGUAAGAGGGGCCCACCCCCUCUUGUGGCUAGGCAUAGAAGGAGAGAGAAAGAGGGGCGUAGCCAUGGAAGGAGAGAGAGAGAGGGACCACACCCCCUCUCUUGCAUGAAAAACCCUACAAUGGGGUGCCAAGGGUUGGUGCCCCAACCACCUACCUUUCUUGCUGAGGG